Molecule: non-coding RNA, 659 nt
Organism: Paramormyrops kingsleyae
Lineage: Eukaryota; Metazoa; Chordata; Actinopteri; Osteoglossiformes; Mormyridae
Source: RefSeq, a predicted model, not a curated record
CUCAAGGAGCCAAUUUAAGAAGUUAUGUGGAAGAAAGUUUCACUGCGUGAGAACUUCCUUAAUAAACCCCAGGUGUCCGCACAAUCCUCUGAAGGGCUCUGCAGUCUAAGGCGUGGCAGUUUCCAUACCGGACUGUAAUACAGCUGGCCAGAACGCUCUCGAUGGUGCCUCUGUAGAAGGUGGUAUAUUCUCCAAGAAUUCCAGUGAUAAACAACUGAUUCCAGCAGUUUACCUGUGUUGCCUUUAAGUGACUAAAGGAGAGUAAUGCUGUCCAGGCUCACAGAGGCAACAGUUAUGGAGCAGUAGUGCCGGCAUACCAGCCUGCCAUUCUCUAGUCCUGUCAACCCAACAAGACUGUUGUAUGGAGACGCAAUGUGCAUUGACGAGGUGUUACUGGACUUCUGUCCUCAAUGAGCCUGUGUGGAAGACCACGAGAGACUGGCAGGGCUAUGGACUAGGGCACUGCUCCUGGGUUCCUGCAAGCGACAGUCCUGACCCACCCCUCAUCCAGGUAUUCUAUCUGAACUACUCUCAUCCUCCUACACCUGUUUCAGAGGCUGCCUGGAAAGUUUGCCACAUUACAACAGUCCAGUCUCUGUCUGGUUAUGUUCUUUUUGUAAGACCUGUUCUGGGCAUCAAUAGGAUGUUAAUCAUUUAAA